RNAcentral lists this ribosomal RNA (430 nucleotides) under uncultured bacterium. RNAcentral describes it as "partial 16S ribosomal RNA". It matches the Rfam family "Bacterial small subunit ribosomal RNA", at positions 31 to 507 of the family's 1533-position model. The record is from RNAcentral.
GAACGCUGGCGGCAUGCCUAACACAUGCAAGUCGAACGAGACCUUCGGGUCUAGUGGCGCACGGGUGCGUAACGCGUGGGAACCUGCCUUUAGGUUCGGAAUAACUCAGAGAAAUUUGAGCUAAUACCGGAUGAUGUCUUCGGACCAAAGAUUUAUCGCCUUUAGAUGGGCCCGCGUUGGAUUAGCUAGUUGGUGGGGUAAAGGCCUACCAAGGCGACGAUCCAUAGCUGGUCUGAGAGGAUGAUCAGCCACACUGGGACUGAGACACGGCCCAGACUCCUACGGGAGGCAGCAGUGGGGAAUAUUGGACAAUGGGCGAAAGCCUGAUCCAGCAAUGCCGCGUGAGUGAUGAAGGCCUUAGGGUUGUAAAGCUCUUUUACCCGAGAUGAUAAUGACAGUAUCGGGAGAAUAAGCUCCGGCUAACUCCGUG